RNAcentral lists this ribosomal RNA (343 nucleotides) under uncultured bacterium. RNAcentral's name for it is "bacterial SSU rRNA". It matches the Rfam family "Bacterial small subunit ribosomal RNA", at positions 8 to 353 of the family's 1533-position model. The record is from RNAcentral.
AGAGUUUGAUCCUGGCUCAGAUUGAACGCUGGCGGCAGGCCUGACACAUGCAAGUCGAGCGGAUGAGUGGAGCUUGCUCCAUGAUUCAGCGGCGGACGGGUGAGUAAUGCCUAGGAAUCUGCCUGGUAGUGGGGGACAACGUUUCGAAGGGAACGCUAAUACCGCAUACGUCCUACGGGAGAAAGCAGGGGACCUUCGGGCCUUGCGCCAUCAGAUGAGCCUAGGUCGGAUUAGCUAGUAGGUGAGGUAAUGGCUCACCUAGGCGACGAUCCGUAACUGGUCUGAGAGGAUGAUCAGUCACACUGGAACUGAGACACGGUCCAGACUCCUACGGGAGGCAGCA